Molecule: ribosomal RNA, 325 nt
Filed under: uncultured eukaryote
Lineage: Eukaryota
Description: partial 18S ribosomal RNA
Rfam family: Eukaryotic small subunit ribosomal RNA
Source: RNAcentral
CCCUUAGAUGUCCUGGGCCGCACGCGCGCUACACGGAUGCAUUCAACGAGUUUUACCUUGGCCGAGAGGCCUGGGCAAUCUUUUAAACCUGCAUCGUGAUAGGGAUAGAUUAUUGCAAUUUUUAAUCUUGAACGAGGAAUUCCUAGUAAACGCAAAUCAUCAAUUUGCAUUGAUUACGUCCCUGCCCUUUGUACACACCGCCCGUCGCACCUACCGAUUGAAUGGUCCGGUGAAGCCUCGGGAUUGUGGCCAGUUCACUUUAUUGGGAGUUGGCUGUGAGAACUUGUCUAAACCUUAUCAUUUAGAGGAAGGUGAAGUCGUAACA